This 400-nucleotide ribosomal RNA is filed under the name uncultured bacterium. RNAcentral describes it as "bacterial SSU rRNA". It matches the Rfam family "Bacterial small subunit ribosomal RNA", at positions 356 to 773 of the family's 1533-position model. The record is from RNAcentral.
GGGGAAUCUUGGACAAUGGGGGCAACCCUGAUCCAGCGAUGCCGCGUGAAUGAAGAAGGCCUUAGGGUUGUAAAGUUCUUUCACCCGUGACGAUAAUGACGGUAGCGGGAGAAGAAGCCCCGGCUAACUCCGUGCCAGCAGCCGCGGUAAGACGGAGGGGGCUAGCGUUGUUCGGAAUGACUGGGCGUAAAGGGCGUGUAGGCUGUUGAUCAAGUCAAGCGUGAAAGCCUCGGGCUUAACCCGAGAACUGCGUUUGAUACUGGUUGACUUGAGGACGAGAGAGGAAAGUGGAAUUCCGAGUGUAGAGGUGAAAUUCGUAGAUAUUCGGAGGAACAUCAGAGGCGAAGGCGGCUUUCUGGCUCGUAUCUGACGCUGAGGCGCGAAAGCGUGGGGAGCAAAC